Molecule: ribosomal RNA, 114 nt
Filed under: Rhodocyclaceae bacterium
Lineage: Bacteria; Pseudomonadati; Pseudomonadota; Betaproteobacteria; Rhodocyclales; Rhodocyclaceae
Also listed under: 1 other name
Source: RNAcentral
UCUGACGACCAUAGCGAGUCGGCCCCACCCCUUCCCAUCCCGAACAGGACCGUGAAACGACUCCGCGCCGAUGAUAUUGCGCACUCCGCGUGAGAAAGUAGGUCAUCGUCAGAC